UUUCCGUAGGUGAACCUGCGGAAGGAUCAUUACCGAGUUUUGAUUGGGUUGUAGCUGGGCUUCCGACGCAUGUGCCCGCACUGCUCAUGCACUCUACACCUGUGCGCUUACUGUGGGUCUCAGCUCGUGAAGCGUGCUCUGUUACCGCGGGUUGUGAAGAGCGUCUGUGCCUGCGUUUAUCAGGAACAUUAUAAAGUAUCAAAAUGUGUAUUACGAUGUAACGCAUCUAUAUACAACUUUCAGCAACGGAUCUCUUGGCUCUC
This 263-nucleotide unclassified non-coding RNA is filed under the name plant metagenome. RNAcentral's name for it is "partial contains small subunit ribosomal RNA, internal transcribed spacer 1, and 5.8S ribosomal RNA". The record is from RNAcentral.